RNAcentral lists this unclassified non-coding RNA (208 nucleotides) under soil metagenome. Its description in RNAcentral is "partial contains 5.8S ribosomal RNA, internal transcribed spacer 2, and large subunit ribosomal RNA". The record is from RNAcentral.
AACAUCGCGCACCUGCGGGAACCUGCGGAGGGAUCAUUACCGAGUGUGGUCCCUUAUAAGGGGCGCCUCCCGUCCUUUGCAGGGCCUUUAGGGGCUUUUUGACUUUGCUUCGGCGGGCUUGCCCCGCCGGAACACCCUCAAGAAAAUCUUUAUGAACCGUUUGUCUGAGUUGCUUGCGAAUAAAAACAAAACUUUCAACAAUGGAUCU